Molecule: ribosomal RNA, 445 nt
Filed under: uncultured bacterium
Lineage: Bacteria
Description: partial 16S ribosomal RNA
Rfam family: Bacterial small subunit ribosomal RNA
Source: RNAcentral
GUGAGGAAUAUUGCGCAAUGGAGGCAACUCUGACGCAGCCAUGCCGCGUGCAGGAAGAAGGCGCUACGCGUUGUAAACUGCUUUUAACCGGGAAGAAACCCCAGGACGUGUCCUGGGUUGACGGUACCGGAGGAAUAAGCACCGGCUAACUUCGUGCCAGCAGCCGCGGUAAUACGUAGGGUGCAAGCGUUAUCCGGAUUCAUUGGGUUUAAAGGGUGCGUAGGCGGAGCGUUAAGUCAGUGGUGAAAUCCUGCAGCUUAACUGUAGACUGGCCAUUGAUACUGGCGCUCUUGAGUGCGCUUGAAGUGGGCGGAAUGUGCCGUGUAGCGGUGAAAUGCUUAGAUAUGGCACAUAACACCAAUUGCGAAGGCAGCUCACUAAGGCGAUACUGACGCUGAGGCACGAAAGCGUGGGGAUCGAACAGGAUUAGAAACCCCGGUAGUCC